ACAGUCUGAUGGAAUAGAAGAGUCUGAUGGAAUAGCAAAGCUGGUGAUUGUCGUCCUGGGCAGUCUGACUGUUGUCCUUGUAAUGGUCAUCAUUGGUCUGGUCGUCAAAAACAGGAAACUUCAGACAGCUGAUAAAGAAGAACAGAAUCCAGAGCAAAGAGAGAAUGCAGACUCUGACCUGAACUACGCAGCAGUGGCAUUUCGACCGAAGGCAAAAAGAAGACAGCCGGAGCCAAAUGUUAUUUAUGCUGCCACCAGAUAGACUGAGGAGGCAACUGGAACUGAUGCUGUAUCAUAUGAAUGUGCUUUAGAGCUGUUGAAUGCCUUGUUCCUAACAGCAAUAACCACACGUGAAUAUUGCAGCAAUGAUCUGAUCUUCAUUCAUUUGCAAGCAGUUUCAUGCUUCAAUUCUCAACAUUUCAUUUAUUUUUCAUUUCUUGUCAGUGCUUAGCAGAAACAUAAAGGACUGAUGUUUUAGGAGGAGGAGCCAGUAAGGACAUUGAUAUUUGUCCAAUCUGUUAUAGUGAGUGUGAUGGAGGUCGUCAGCGGUGGAGGAGCGAGUGAGGUACACAUCACUUGUUUGUCAGGCAGAGACAGUACAGUGUGGUCAGAGAAUAACUGAGGUGAAAACCAUGAGGGCCGUUAGAUCAAAGUUUUCUAAUAAUUAGGGAUGUAACGAUGCAUCGUGACACGUUUAAAAAUCGGUACAAAUGCGUGACGAUUCGCACCGGUUGACAGAAAAAAUGAAUCGCGGAUGCGAGAGAAGUAAGAUACGUUCUUUUUUUUUAGAAAUAGGUUACGUUAUCUUGAAAAAAAAGUCACUGGUUGGUGAUUCAUUUGUUCAACGUCAGACGUCAAGUCACAUGACUUACGUCACUACGUAGGUACGGGGCACAGAACGAGGGAAGACAUGGUUGACGGUAGGCAACAACUUUGAAAUAGAGGAUGCACCGAGCGAUUUUAAAUCACCUGUGUGGCGGCAUUUUGGAUUCCACCAUAUACACAAAAAAACGAGAGCAUUUGGUUAUUUUAUUGGAAAAGAUUUGAGGCCAUUUUCCGUCGUUGAAAAUGAGGGCUUUUGGCUGUAAGACACAAAAACAGUGUUUAACAGUGUUUCUGUAAAGAAAGCACCUCUUUUUUUUGGUCAAGAUUUUAUAUUCUUUUGUUAUUUAAUAUAUUGAAUUUAACCAGUUAACACCAGUUUACUUGUGAGAUUGUUUCUAAAGAAAGGAGAUAUUUUUCAUGUAUUUUGUUGUUUAAGAUGACCAUGUAAGUUGCACUUUUUAUAAGAGGACACAAACUGUUUUAAAGAGUUUCUGUAAAGAAAGCACCUCUAAGAUUUUUUUCCUACAAAUAAAAAAUCAUUUUAUUUGGUCAUAAUUUGUCUGUAGCUCAUUUUAAUAAAAAAAAAAAAAUCAUGAGAAAAUCGUAUCGUGAACAAAAAAUCGUGAACCAUAUUGAAUCGUGAGUUGAGUGUAUCGUUACAUCCCAACUAAUAAUCGAAGCAGUGAAUAUGGGCUGACUUCCCAAAGCCUUAGCAAGACAUUUGUGAUUAGGCUUUGAAAAAAUACAGUCCAUCUGUGUGGAUGAUAAAAGUCUGAAUCAAAAACAAAAUGUCUGACUAUUAGAAGUGUCUGUAUCAUUGGUGAGGCAUGAACCACAGGAAGACUGACGUUCACCUCUCUGCAACCCCUUCCCUCACAAGGUCAUAAAAACAGCAUGGAGAACUACCACACUGUCUAUACUGUAUAAAGGAGUAAUGAAGGAAUACACUGUGGCAUUUUCAGGCUUAUGCAUAUAAACGUAUUACUCUUCAUCCUCACACAUGCAUCGCAAAAUCAUUAGUCAGCAGCUCACUGCCAUUAUCUGUUCUGUAAAUCAACACAUUGAGGUGAUAACUGUA
Dicentrarchus labrax (European seabass) is the source of this 1903-nucleotide long non-coding RNA. RefSeq lists it as uncharacterized. The transcript has 3 exons. Lineage: Eukaryota; Metazoa; Chordata; Actinopteri; Moronidae. The record is from RefSeq and is a predicted model, not a curated record.